GGGGCUGUAGCUCAGUGGCAGAGCACUUGCCUAGCAUGCAGGAGGCCCCGGGUUUGAUCCCCAGCACCA
This 69-nucleotide transfer RNA is filed under the name Ictidomys tridecemlineatus (thirteen-lined ground squirrel). Its description in RNAcentral is "Spermophilus tridecemlineatus (thirteen-lined ground squirrel) tRNA". It matches the Rfam family "tRNA". Rfam says of the family: Transfer RNA (tRNA) molecules are approximately 80 nucleotides in length. Their secondary structure includes four short double-helical elements and three loops (D, anti-codon, and T loops). Further hydrogen bonds mediate the characteristic L-shaped molecular structure. tRNAs have two regions of fundamental functional importance: the anti-codon, which is responsible for specific mRNA codon recognition, and the 3' end, to which the tRNAs corresponding amino acid is attached (by aminoacyl-tRNA synthetases). tRNAs cope with the degeneracy of the genetic code in two manners: having more than one tRNA (with a specific anti-codon) for a particular amino acid; and 'wobble' base-pairing, i.e. permitting non-standard base-pairing at the 3rd anti-codon position. The record is from Rfam by way of RNAcentral. Lineage: Eukaryota; Metazoa; Chordata; Mammalia; Rodentia; Sciuridae.